Molecule: long non-coding RNA, 6462 nt
Filed under: Equus caballus (horse)
Lineage: Eukaryota; Metazoa; Chordata; Mammalia; Perissodactyla; Equidae
Description: lncRNA (ENSECAG00000055411.1)
Source: RNAcentral
GACUCACACCACUGAUUCUCCUUCAUCUCCAGCUUGCUGACUGCAGACCUGGCGGCUUCUUAGCCUCCUUAAUCACCUCACUUAUUCUCUCUUUAUGUGAUCUGCUGCCCAAGCCGUAUGGACACUUGAAAUUGGAAAUGGCUGAUACUCAAAUGAGUAUAAGCCAAACAUGGCUCAUUUAACAGGUUAACUGACAACACGGCAGCAAAGAAGCGAGAGAGUAUGAGAGAAUGUCAGCAACAGAGACAAAGCUGGCAGGAUGGAGGUCAGACUCUUCUGUAACCUCAACAUGGAAAUGACACCCCAUCAUCUGCACUCUAUUAUUUUUGUUAGAAGCGAGUCACCAGGUCCCGUUUAUACUCAUGGGAAGGGGAUUACUCAAGGGUGUGGGUGGCAGGAGGUGGGGAUCCCUGGGAACCCUAUCAGAAGCUGCCUACCAUGUCUAUAUAAAGUAAUAUUUGAGAUCCAAGUGCUGAUCCAGUACAGAAAAACUCUCCAACCAUUUUUGCCACCUAUAACUUUGCAGUUAGGAACGUCCACAGGAAUAUUAGAACUGUUUCCCUUUGAUAGAAGGCCAUAUGUCAGUGGAGGUGUUUUUGGCGCUUACUAAUGCACUCAGUAACUUGAUUUGAAAAGAGAACUGUGCAAUACUGUAUAAUUUCAAACACUUUCCUAGCAAAAAUAUAUUACCUUUAAUUAGGCUGAUUUAAAGCUGUUAAGAUUCUUGUCAGAAAUAAUUUUUAAGUGGAUGUGUCAAGAUGAAAACAGCAGUUGUCAAGUGAAGAAAGCGGUAAUUUGUGUGUGUGCUGUCUGGCUUAUGAGAAAUUGGGUCUUUAAAUACCAACCAAGCAUUCCUGCUAACAAUUUCUUUUAUAGAAGCCAUUCUGGCAGUUUGGGAUUCAAAAUGUUGGAAUGCUAUUGUUUGUGGUAAAUAUUUGUCCUAUGACUAGGGAAUUAAAUUUAGUUCCUACCCUGUAAUAUAGACAAAAGCAUCUCUAAGAAGAGAAAGCAUUUAAGCAAUUAAAUUCACCAAGUGGUCAAACACAUAGCAUGAGCAAAGCAUUCUGGGUGAUUACAGAGUGGAAUAAUAAUAACAAUAAUGAAGACCACUCUUAGAUGAAAGCAAAUCAGGUGACUUUAAGCACUCGAAAAAGCUUGAAUUCUACUUGCAGUCUUUUUAGGCUACUAAUUUCUUUAGCAAGCUUUUGUUAUUGGGCAGUGAAAAGGAGGGCUUUUGCUUGACCUCUAUGGUAGGGUUUCUUAGUAGUGGCACUGUUGACAUUUUGGGUCACGUAAUUCUUUGUUGUGGGGGGGCUGUCCUAUGCACUGUAAGAUGUUUAGCAGCAUUCCUGGCUUCCCAGGAUGCCAAUAGCUUUGCUCCUCUCAUCCCAGUUGUGACGUUGAAAUAUGUGUGCAGACGUUGCCGGAUGUACCUGGAGGUAGAGAGAGGGGGGGAAAAAAUCACCACACUAUGGCAAUUACCACAGCUUUUGAAUCAGGGAAUUCUAAAUUAACACGAGGUAACAUUAUCUUACUUUUAUCCAUUGCAUUUAUAAAUAUUUUGUCUUUUCUCUUGGUCCUCAAAAGCAAAAUUCCAUAUGCUAUAUAAAAGAUAAUUCAUUCUCCUAGUCAUUGAGCCAGUGAACAUUCACUGAGUGCUUACUGCAUGCAAUCAACUUUCCCCAGGCAUUGCAAAGAAUACAGAAAAAAGUAGGUUUUUGUCCUCAAGAAGCUUGAGAUCUCGGAGGAGGUAGAGAAGGGAUUUAGGUCGUGUAUAUACAUGACUAUCAAGCAAGUAGGAAGAACUAAAUUCAAAUAAAGAAAGAGGUAAAAUUUAUUGAGAGGAACUUUUACUUUUCCCUUGCAGACCAGCGGUGAUUUAGAAGUUUAUCCCUGAGCUGGGAUUCUGGAAUCAGAGUUUAAUAGAGCAAGGUUAACCUAAGUUUUGGGGUAUGAGAGUAGAUUUGGAAUUGGAGCUAGACCUCUGGAACAAAACAUCAAAUCAAUGGGGGUAGGCAGAGAGAUAGAAACCCAGUCUGAAGCCAAAGGUUCUCAACCAGAAAUGGCAAGAUGGAGGGUGCAUGUUCAAGAGGACCAAAAAGCGGGGGAGCCUGGAAAAGGUUGCUGAAACACUGACAAACAGCCCCUGGUCCAUUUUGUAGGAAACUGCUAAUGAGCUCAGGUGCAAUCACAGCUGUAGGAGCACUAAACUGAUUUAAUGGGUGGGAGGCCUUCCAGUGGGACCAGAAUUAUUCUUCUCUUACCCAUGGUGCCCAGGAACUCAGCAGUGGUGUAUGGAAAGCAAUUCCAAGCCAUACACAGGCAAUGGAAGAUGAGAUAUCAGAGGGUCCUGCUUCCAAGUACCUCCCACUGGCCAGCCCUGUGCCCAACAUCUCCACCAUUAGGGCUUUGUCAUUUGGGUGAGUCUUCUGAAAAAGCAAACAUUCUCCCCAAAAUGGUGUUAUUAUCCAUGAACUCGUGGUGUUAUAAUUUUCGAAGUAUAUUCCAAAGACUCUUAAUAGGUAUUACCUUGAAGAGUUUAAUCAACCAAUUAGUUUCUGAAGUGCCUGGUAAAAGAAAUUAAACACAUUUUUUUACUGCAGAAUUUAUAAGAACCUUUAAGAUACAUCAUCAAUCUCAAAUGGAGGGUUAUACUGUGAAACACUUCCAAAAUUUAUUUGAAUACAAAGCCAUUUUAUCGUGUAACAUCUCAUGAGAACAUGGUGUAUGCUACAUGCUUUGUGUAACCCUGCGUGGUUGUGAAAUGAGUGGCUGUUGCCAACUGUCUGGACUUUAAGUGAAUGGGGUAUAGCAGGAAAAAUAUAUCAACAUGUGCAUAUUCACAGACCUCUCCCUCCACACCUGCUAAAGGAAAACUUGACUUUGCCAGUUUGGUUCCACCGCAUUUCUUGCCCCACCAAAUAGAGUUCUGUCUUGAUCACCAGUUUCAUGGUCUUUAUUAUACAUCACUGUAAAUGGUGAAGUCUGGAGAUGCUGGCUAAUUACUCUAAAGAGCAGAUGAUAGGAGAAAAAUAACGGAAAUAUUAAGGGGGGAAUGAAAAGUAGGGCAGGUUUGGAGAGCAGUCGUUGGUGGAGUAGGGCAGGUAACUGACUCUGAGAGCUGCCUUUGUGCAUCUUGGAGUCUGAGAAAGAGCGAAUGCCUGGUAAGAGAAUAUUUUUCUGGACGUGAGAAGAGUAAUUCUUAAGUUGACGUUUUUCCUUAUCAAACUGUAGUAAACAUUUAAAUUGCUUUUUAUUUACUUUUGGUUGCUAGGAUGAAUUUAUUUAAAUAUGAAAAUGAGCUGAAAUGGGGUGUUAAGGUGGGAUCCAAAAGGUCUGUCUUUAUAAAGGCAGUUACAGGGAAUAUUUAACGAGAAGCAGAGAUCCUGGGUUAAGGUGAAAGAGAGUCGGAGUAUGUGAGUAUCCUGGAAAUAAAGGCUUACUGGGAUGAUCUAGUGAAUGUUAUUUUUGCCUUCCCAUUCGCCUUCUCAGAACAACAAUCUCCUUCUUGUAGGAAUUGCUCCUCUCCUGCUCCAUGCGGUUCUGGGGAGCUGCCAAUCACAGGACAUAGCCCUGUGGCCACAGGAAUGGGCACACAUUCCAGUAGGCCUGGUCAAUCAUAGUUGCCCAUUUCCAUGGCUUCAAAGAUGGGCACAUGACCCAGUUCAGGCCAGUCAGACUCCUUCCCUGAAAUUUUAUAUAACAAAAUGAUGGAAUAGAGAGGCUCUGGUGUGACUAAGCAGGGAUGAUGCUAGCCUGUCAUCUGGAUUCACGCUUCUUUUAUCAUUCCAUCCCUCAACCUGGCCACUAGGAAGAAGCCAAUCUGUAGAAAAGAAGGUGGACAUCAGUAGAAUCUGAGAUGGGAGAUGGAGGGAGAUGGUAAAACGUAGUCACACUGUCUAAGUUACUGGGCUCCCCAAGGCCAGCUUACCUCUGCACUUCUCCACUAUUUGAGCCAGACAUUCCAGUUUAGCUUAACUAAUUUUAGUUUCUGUCAUUUGUAACCAAAGGAGUCCCAAUGAUUUAUCCAGCAAUGUGCUGAGUGCCUUGAGGAGAGAAAGUGUAGAUGGCUGUCAUGAGGGAGAAAGGCCGUGAAGGUGGAGAGAGAACGUGUUACUGUAAACUUUCUCUUGAGCUCUAUUUGCUUGGAGCAGAACCUGAUGGGGACCUGAUGGUGUGAGGAGGGAGUGGGAGUCGUAAAGUGAGUGAGAAUUGAGAAAUUAAUUUCCUCUCUUUGCCUUGAAUCGGCUGCCCUUCUGAGGUGAUAAGGCAAGAUGAGCUGGGUUCCUUGGAUGAUUCUUGGGAGGAUCCAGUAAAAUGGCAUAUGUGGAAAAGCCACAAAUCAUUCUAUACACAUUAACUCUCAUGUCCAGUCAUCAAGGAAACGUGUUUCAUUCUGAGAUGAAGAUGGAUGCUCACUGUACAAAUAAAGCAUGUGAGAGGUAAACGGGCACUGUUGGAUACAUGCAUCGUUGGAAGAAAAUAAGACGGUGGCCAUGUCAUUCUGACCCGACUUUCCCUUCUUUGACUUGAUACUCCACCUUCAGAAACAGGGAAAGUCUCCAUGGCUCAGCUCUUCCAGCAACGCUGCUCACUGUGGUGAUAUCUAUGAGUUAACUUCACCAUCCUUGCAGACAGCUGCCAUGUUGUGAGGACCUUCAAGCAACUCUGUGAAGAAUUGACAUGGUGAGGCUUCCUGCCAGCAGCUGGCACCACCUUGCCAGUCAUCUGAGUGAGCCAUCUUGGAAGUGGAUCCUCCAGCCUCAGUCAUGCCUUCAACUGACUCCAACCUCAUGAGGUGCCCUGAGCCAGAACCACACAGCUAAACUUCUCUUCAUUUCCUGACCUAUAGAAAGUACAAGAGAAAACAAAUUUUUGUUGUUUUAAGCUGAUGACUUUGUGGAUAACUUGUUCUGCAGCAAUAGAUAACUAAUGCGUAAUGUUUGAAAGGUAAUCCUAGGAAGUUAAACGAGGGAGUGAGGAAAAUGAGUCAAGGAAGAAGGUAAAGUCAAUAAAGGGUAUGUUAGUGUGGACAACUGGGCUCAAUCUCAUUGGAGAGAUAUUGAGGAUUGUUUAAGAUGUGCCUGAAAACUGAGGCACCAAGGCAUGGAGAAGCUUAUAUAUUUUCCCACCAGCUCUCAUGCCUCAUUGGAUGAAGGUUGCCCAUGGGGAUAUUAAAUCCUCAAUGCUUUCAGGCUUGCCCUUGGGAUAGGAAAGGAUCAGAGAAAAUUCUCAGAGAAGCAGAAAGCUACAGGUGGUUAAAAUGAGAGGCUGUCAGCAUGUAAAAGAACUGUCCACUGAGGCCACAGAUGUACUCGGGGUGGAUUGAGUAGAUUACGGGGUGGAUUAUAGAGUGGGACUUCAAUAGCGUCUGCCACAUAGCUUCACAGUCUUUUUCAUUGCCAUGCUUUGAGCAGCCACUCCCAAUCAAUUAGUGUUGGGAUUUGAGAUAAAAUCCAUCUGACUUCUCUAGUUUAGAAUAUACUCCCCACUCUUUGUUCUGUCCCCUCCACUCAACACCACUUUCCACCUGGUGAAUUCUUACUUAACUCUCAAAGGUCAAAGGCUACCUACCCAGUGACCCUUCACGAAUAAUGUCCCCUUUGCCUGGCUAAAUUAGCUUCCCUCUCUUUGCUGAUGUCUUGCUCUCAGUAGUCACACGGACUGAAAUCAUUUAUGUGUUUACCUCCCUGACUCGCCCGCUGGGGAACUUUUGCUCGUCUCUGUAUUCCUAACGUCUGGCACAUAUUAGGCCCUCAAAAAAUAUGAGCUAAAAGAACAAGACUUGAAGACUUGAGAUAAAGGUACAAGUCUCCUUGGUGUUCCACAGUAUUGCCCCUGAGUUCAUUCUCCCUGCAGAGGUACUCACAGACAUCUUUCACUGUGGGUAAAAGAAACAUGUUUACACACUUUUGCAUUACUUGGAUUACUCUGGAUAGAAGGAGUAAUCCAAGUGAGAAUAAAGAUUCUGCCAAACUGGUUUUGGGAAAAUAUAAUUUUAAGCCUCAGGCCACCCAAUACUUCAAUUUACUUACCAUGUGUAUUUUUUAACCUAUAUUCUACUGACUUGAUAAAGUUUUUUACUUUAAAAAAAUAGAUUCUCCAUAGCAAAGUCAUGGAAUGGUUAUGUUGCCAUGUUAAGUGUGGCAUGAGGUUUGGUUCUCAUUAUUAAACUUUGAAGGAUGAUGUGUAUAUGGGGGGGAAGGGGGGAAGUGACCAGCACUAUUUCAAAGCUGGCAUUGUUUCUAAAGGUCCCUGGAGAAUGUUACUAUCCCCAAACAUUAACAGAUGUCAGUCUCCUGUCCUGGUUUGACCCGAGGCCCUUACCCAUGGUUCGCUUGCGUAGCACUUUAGCCCGUGUGGAUUUCGGAUUUCGUCAUCUUUCCCUUCAGGGUAGGACAAGCAAAGAGAAGAGAAGUGAGUUUCAUUUUGGCUCAUUUUCUUUUGUUUUUAUCUCAUCAG